RNAcentral lists this ribosomal RNA (950 nucleotides) under Diplodia mutila. RNAcentral describes it as "LSU rRNA". It matches the Rfam family "Eukaryotic large subunit ribosomal RNA", at positions 1 to 966 of the family's 3401-position model. Lineage: Eukaryota; Fungi; Ascomycota; Dothideomycetes; Botryosphaeriales; Botryosphaeriaceae. The record is from RNAcentral.
GGUUGACCUCGGAUCAGGUAGGGAUACCCGCUGAACUUAAGCAUAUCAAUAAGCGGAGGAAAAGAAACCAACAGGGAUUGCCUUAGUAACGGCGAGUGAAGCGGCAACAGCUCAAAUUUGAAAGCUGGCCCUUUCAGGGUCCGCAUUGUAAUUUGUAGAGGAUGAUUCGGCGAGGGCUCCCGCCUAAGUCCCCUGGAACGGGGCGUCAUAGAGGGUGAGAAUCCCGUAUGCGGUGGGCUGCCUUAGCCAUGUGAAUCUCCUUCGACGAGUCGAGUUGUUUGGGAAUGCAGCUCUAAAUGGGAGGUAAAUUUCUUCUAAAGCUAAAUACCGGCCAGAGACCGAUAGCGCACAAGUAGAGUGAUCGAAAGAUGAAAAGCACUUUGGAAAGAGAGUUAAAAAGUACGUGAAAUUGUUGAAAGGGAAGCGCUUGCAACCAGACUUGUCCGCAGUUGCUCAGCCGGUCUCCUGACCGGCGUACUCUUCUGCGGCCAGGCCAGCAUCAGUUCGGGCGGUCGGAUAAAGACCUCGGGAAUGUAGCUCCUCUCGGGGAGUGUUAUAGCCCGGGGUGGAAUGCGGCCAGCCUGGACUGAGGAUCUCGCUUCGGCAAGGAUGCUGGCGUAAUGGUUGUAAGCGGCCCGUCUUGAAACACGGACCAAGGAGUCUAACAUCUAUGCGAGUGUUUGGGUGUCAAACCCAUACGCGUAAUGAAAGUGAACGGAGGUGGGAACCCGCAAGGGUGCACCAUCGGCCGAUCCUGAUGUCUUCGGAUGGAUUUGAGCAAGAGCAUAGCUGUUGGGACCCGAAAGAUGGUGAACUAUGCCUGAAUAGGGUGAAGCCAGAGGAAACUCUGGUGGAGGCUCGCAGCGGUUCUGACGUGCAAAUCGAUCGUCAAAUUUGGGUAUAGGGGCGAAAGACUAAUCGAACCAUCUAGUAGCUGGUUCCUGCCGAAG